This 469-nucleotide ribosomal RNA is filed under the name uncultured bacterium. RNAcentral's name for it is "partial 16S ribosomal RNA". It matches the Rfam family "Bacterial small subunit ribosomal RNA", at positions 28 to 507 of the family's 1533-position model. The record is from RNAcentral.
GACGAACGCUGGCGGCGUGCUUAACACAUGCAAGUCGAACGGUGAACGAGGGAGCUUGCUCCCUCCGGAUCAGCGGCGAACGGGUGAGUAACACGUGAGCAACCUCCCCCGAACUCUGGGAUAAGCUUGGGAAACGGCGUCUAAUACCGGAUACGACGUGGGAGGGCAUCCUCCCCGCGUGAAAAAACUUUCGGUUGGGAUUGAGCGCGGGCCCCACCCCUUUUUGGGGAGGUGACCGGCAACCAAGGCGCCGGCGGGCAGCCGGCCCGCGGGGGUGGCCGGGCACCCUGGGACUGAGGCACGGCCCAGGAUCCUACGGGGGGGAACGGGGGGGAAUAUUGCGCAAUGGGCGCAAGCCUGAUGCAGCAACGCCGCGUGGGGGACGACGGCCUUCGGGUUGUAAACCUCUUUUAGCAGGGAAGAAGCGAAAGUGACGGUACCUGCAGAAAAAGCACCGGCUAACUACGUG